CUGGUGGCUCCCGGCCCUGGUGACAGGGUGUGCACCGUGAAGGGCAGGGCGCGGGCUUUGCACGGCCCUGUGUGCCCUCUCUUGAUUGCGUGAGGGCACGCUAACCCUCUGAGGGGACGCUGUCAUCACCCCAGUUUUACCACGAGGUCACUGCGGUUCGGGUCAGCCACGUGGCUUUGGGCAAGCUGCUUCAGCCCUCUGGUCCUUCCUUUCUGCAUCUGCCACCUACCUCCAAGUCGAGAGAACCAAAAGAGAUGGUAAUGCUGGUGAUUAUUUAAGGAGCACCCAGCGUGUGCGAUUCCAUUCUAAAAGCUUUAUGCUCAUUUGAUGCUUAUAACAGCCCCAGAUGGUGAACUAUGCUUGUCCCCAUUUUACAGAUGAAGAAACGGAGGCACCAAAUGGUCAAAUAACCUGCCCAAAGGGAGCUCACACUGUGGUUUGGGAACCCACGUGGAUGAGCCUCUUGUUGGGAGAAUGAGGGUCUCAGGCAGACUGGAUCAGCGAGCUGAGGCCACAGAGAGUGGGACUGCUCUUGUGAGAAGGUUUCAAGUCACGUCCUGUGUGGCUAAGGAGGGAGGUGGUCUGCUGCCCGCUGGGUCACCUGUGGGAGAAAUGGACUCUGCUAUUCUGGCUGUGUUGGGGGCCUCUCCGUUACAGCAUCCUAGGUGUCCCCUCGCUAAGGUGCUGCGCGGGACACAGCAGGGAACCAGCAGGCAAGGUCUGAAAGCCCUGGUCAUGCUCAUAGUGUAGUGGGAGAGACAACCUUAAACUGGGAGACAGUCACAGCUACAGAAUAUGACUACUGCUGUGAAAGGCGCGAGCUGUGAUGGUGGGAGAGAAUGGUGGGGCCCCUGAUUUAGGCGGUGGCCAGAAAGGCCCCUUUGAAGAGACAGCUGUCUUUCCCUUUUUAACCAUGUAUACGUUAUUUUAAAAUAUCGUAAUAAGGGGCUGGCCCCAUGGCCGAGUGGUUAAGUUCGCGCGCUCCGCUGCAGGCGGCCCAGUGUUUCGUUGGUUCGAAUCCUGGGCGCGGACGUGGCACUGCUCAUCAAAGCACGCUGAGGUGGCGUCCCACAUGCCACAACUAGAAGGACCCACAACGAAGAAUAUACAACUAUGUACCAAGGGGGCGUUGGGGAGAAAAAGG
RNAcentral lists this long non-coding RNA (1144 nucleotides) under Equus asinus (donkey). RNAcentral's name for it is "lncRNA (ENSEASG00005031807.1, ENSEASG00020028672.1)". The record is from RNAcentral. Lineage: Eukaryota; Metazoa; Chordata; Mammalia; Perissodactyla; Equidae.